This 257-nucleotide ribosomal RNA is filed under the name uncultured Enterobacterales bacterium. Its description in RNAcentral is "partial 16S ribosomal RNA". It matches the Rfam family "Bacterial small subunit ribosomal RNA", at positions 524 to 780 of the family's 1533-position model. Lineage: Bacteria; Pseudomonadati; Pseudomonadota; Gammaproteobacteria; Enterobacterales. The record is from RNAcentral.
UACGGAGGGUGCAAGCGUUAAUCGGAAUUACUGGGCGUAAAGCGCACGCAGGCGGUCUGUCAAGUCGGAUGUGAAAUCCCCGGGCUCAACCUGGGAACUGCAUUCGAAACUGGCAGGCUAGAGUCUUGUAGAGGGGGGUAGAAUUCCAGGUGUAGCGGUGAAAUGCGUAGAGAUCUGGAGGAAUACCGGUGGCGAAGGCGGCCCCCUGGACAAAGACUGACGCUCAGGUGCGAAAGCGUGGGGAGCAAACAGGAUUA